UCAUUUGAGCUCAUUAUUGUAUAUAAAUAUAUUGUUGUCUUGUGUUGGUUUUGCUUUUGUUUUGUGUGAACCCAAUGCAAAAAGGAGAAAGGACUUAGAAUUAGGACUUACCCAUGCUUAAAGGAGUUCAAGAUCAACUAGGCCUCACGCCUUUAUAAUGCUAAAUUUGUUGAAGAGCAACUAGGCCUCGUGCCUUUAGAAUGCUAGAUCUCAA
RNAcentral lists this long non-coding RNA (214 nucleotides) under Lathyrus oleraceus (garden pea). RNAcentral describes it as "Pisum sativum (pea) long non-coding RNA (PSAT_LNC002504)". The record is from RNAcentral. Lineage: Eukaryota; Viridiplantae; Streptophyta; Magnoliopsida; Fabales; Fabaceae.